This 440-nucleotide ribosomal RNA is filed under the name uncultured bacterium. RNAcentral's name for it is "partial 16S ribosomal RNA". It matches the Rfam family "Bacterial small subunit ribosomal RNA", at positions 338 to 795 of the family's 1533-position model. The record is from RNAcentral.
CCUACGGGGAGCAGCAGUGGGGAAUAUUGCACAAUGGGGGAAACCCUGAUGCAGCGACGCCGCGUGAGUGAAGAAGUAUCUCGGUACGUAAAGCUCUAUCAGCAGGAAAGAAAAUGACGGUACCUGACUAAGAAGCCCCGGCUAACUACGUGCCAGCAGCCGCGGUAAUACGUAGGGGGCAAGCGUUAUCCGGAUUUACUGGGUGUAAAGGGAGCGUAGACGGCGCUGCAAGUCCGGAGUGAAAGCCCAUGGCUUAACCAUGGUACUGCUCUGGAAACUGUAGAGCUUGAGUGCGGGAGGGGCAGGCGGAAUUCGUAGUGUAGGGGUGAAAUGCGGAGAUAUGAGGAGGAACACCGGCGGAGAAGGCGGCCUGCUGGACCGUAAUGGACGUGGAGGCUCGAAAGCGUGGGGAGAAAACAGGAUUAGAUACCCCAGGAGUC